AUACAAAACAAUGAUGUGAUAAUUUCCAAACACAUAUCUGAUGAUUCUACGUGAUAUUCAACUAUUACUUUCAAGUUUUGGCAAU
Small nucleolar RNA from Hippopotamus amphibius kiboko, 85 nucleotides. RefSeq annotates it as small nucleolar RNA SNORD121A. Lineage: Eukaryota; Metazoa; Chordata; Mammalia; Artiodactyla; Hippopotamidae. The transcript has a single exon. The record is from RefSeq and is a predicted model, not a curated record.